This 192-nucleotide unclassified non-coding RNA is filed under the name Glomus sp. Its description in RNAcentral is "partial contains 5.8S ribosomal RNA and internal transcribed spacer 2". The stretch from base 1 to 71 matches the Rfam family "5.8S ribosomal RNA", at positions 84 to 154 of the family's 154-position model. The record is from RNAcentral. Lineage: Eukaryota; Fungi; Glomeromycota; Glomeromycetes; Glomerales; Glomeraceae.
GUGAAUCAUCGAAUCUUUGAACGCACAUUGCACUCUCUGGUAUUCCGGAGAGUAUGCCUGUUUGAGGGUCAGUUUAAAUAAAAAUCGGUGUGCUUGCUGACUUUCGUGGUGGCGCCCGGGCUUUGGGUCAUCUGUCCUUCGGUUAUAUGACCUAACAUUGACCAUAAUUUUUUCGAACGUAUUUAAAUGGUA